This 1285-nucleotide ribosomal RNA is filed under the name Escherichia coli. Its description in RNAcentral is "partial 23S ribosomal RNA". It matches the Rfam family "Bacterial large subunit ribosomal RNA", at positions 1 to 1327 of the family's 2925-position model. The record is from RNAcentral. Lineage: Bacteria; Pseudomonadati; Pseudomonadota; Gammaproteobacteria; Enterobacterales; Enterobacteriaceae.
GUUAAGCGACUAAGCGUACACGGUGGAUGCCCUGGCAGUCAGAGGCGAUGAAGGACGUGCUAAUCUGCGAUAAGCGUCGGUAAGGUGAUAUGAACCGUUAUAACCGGCGAUUUCCGAAUGGGGAAACCCAGUGUGUUUCGACACACUAUCAUUAACUGAAUCCAUAGGUUAAUGAGGCGAACCGGGGGAACUGAAACAUCUAAGUACCCCGAGGAAAAGAAAUCAACCGAGAUUCCCCCAGUAGCGGCGAGCGAACGGGGAGCAGCCCAGAGCCUGAAUCAGUGUGUGUGUUAGUGGAAGCGUCUGGAAAGGCGCGCGAUACAGGGUGACAGCCCCGUACACAAAAAUGCACAUGCUGUGAGCUCGAUGAGUAGGGCGGGACACGUGGUAUCCUGUCUGAAUAUGGGGGGACCAUCCUCCAAGGCUAAAUACUCCUGACUGACCGAUAGUGAACCAGUACCGUGAGGGAAAGGCGAAAAGAACCCCGGCGAGGGGAGUGAAAAAGAACCUGAAACCGUGUACGUACAAGCAGUGGGAGCACGCUUAGGCGUGUGACUGCGUACCUUUUGUAUAAUGGGUCAGCGACUUAUAUUCUGUAGCAAGGUUAACCGAAUAGGGGAGCCGAAGGGAAACCGAGUCUUAACUGGGCGUUAAGUUGCAGGGUAUAGACCCGAAACCCGGUGAUCUAGCCAUGGGCAGGUUGAAGGUUGGGUAACACUAACUGGAGGACCGAACCGACUAAUGUUGAAAAAUUAGCGGAUGACUUGUGGCUGGGGGUGAAAGGCCAAUCAAACCGGGAGAUAGCUGGUUCUCCCCGAAAGCUAUUUAGGUAGCGCCUCGUGAAUUCAUCUCCGGGGGUAGAGCACUGUUUCGGCAAGGGGGUCAUCCCGACUUACCAACCCGAUGCAAACUGCGAAUACCGGAGAAUGUUAUCACGGGAGACACACGGCGGGUGCUAACGUCCGUCGUGAAGAGGGAAACAACCCAGACCGCCAGCUAAGGUCCCAAAGUCAUGGUUAAGUGGGAAACGAUGUGGGAAGGCCCAGACAGCCAGGAUGUUGGCUUAGAAGCAGCCAUCAUUUAAAGAAAGCGUAAUAGCUCACUGGUCGAGUCGGCCUGCGCGGAAGAUGUAACGGGGCUAAACCAUGCACCGAAGCUGCGGCAGCGACACUAUGUGUUGUUGGGUAGGGGAGCGUUCUGUAAGCCUGUGAAGGUGUGCUGUGAGGCAUGCUGGAGGUAUCAGAAGUGCGAAUGCUGACAUAAGUAACGAUAAAGCGGGUGAAAA